CAGUAGCCGCGGUAAUACAGAGGCCUCAAGCGUUGUUCGGAUUCAUUGGGCGUAAAGGGUGCGUAGUCGGUUCCGUAAGUCGGAUGUGAAAUCCUGGGGCUCAACCUCAGAACUGCAUUCGAUACUGCGGGGCUAGAGGACUGGAGAGGAGAGUGGAAUUCACGGUGUAGCAGUGAAAUGCGUAGAUAUCGUGAGGAAGACCAGCGGCGAAGGCGGCUCUCUGGACAGUUCCUGACGCUGAUGCACGAAGGCCAGGGGAGCAAACGGGAUUAGAUACCCCUGUAGUCCCUGUCUCUUAUAA
Molecule: ribosomal RNA, 301 nt
Filed under: uncultured bacterium
Lineage: Bacteria
Description: partial 16S ribosomal RNA
Rfam family: Bacterial small subunit ribosomal RNA
Source: RNAcentral